GACGAACGCUGGCGGCGUGCUUAACACAUGCAAGUCGAACGGAAAGGCCCUGCUUUUGUGGGGUGCUCGAGUGGCGAACGGGUGAGUAACACGUGAGUAACCUGCCCAUGACUUUGGGAUAACUUCAGGAAACUGGGGCUAAUACCGGAUAGGAGCUCCUGCUGCAUGGUGGGGGUUGGAAAGUUUCGGCGGUUGGGGAUGGACUCGCGGCUUAUCAGCUUGUUGGUGGGGUAGUGGCUUACCAAGGCUUUGACGGGUAGCCGGCCUGAGAGGGUGACCGGCCACAUUGGGACUGAGAUACGGCCCCGACUCCUACGGGAGGCAGCAGUGGGGAAUAUUGCACAAUGGGCGGAAGCCUGAUGCAGCAACGCCGCGUGCGGGAUGACGGCCUUCGGGUUGUAAACCGCUUUCGCCUGUGACGAAGCGUGAGUGACGGUAAUGGGUAAAGAAGCACCGGCUAACUACGUG
RNAcentral lists this ribosomal RNA (468 nucleotides) under uncultured bacterium. RNAcentral's name for it is "partial 16S ribosomal RNA". It matches the Rfam family "Bacterial small subunit ribosomal RNA", at positions 28 to 507 of the family's 1533-position model. The record is from RNAcentral.